Molecule: ribosomal RNA, 405 nt
Filed under: uncultured bacterium
Lineage: Bacteria
Description: partial 16S ribosomal RNA
Rfam family: Bacterial small subunit ribosomal RNA
Source: RNAcentral
GAUGAACGCUGGCGGCGUGCCUAAUACAUGCAAGUCGAGCGAAGCGGGGACGGGUGAGUAACACGUAGAUAACCUCCUAUAAGACUGGGCUAACUUAGGGAAACCGGAGCUUAACCGGAUACUUAGAGAUGAAUGUACGAGGCAUUAGCUAGUUGGUAGGGUAACGGCUUACCAAGGCAACGAUGCAUAGACGUCCUGAGAGGGUGAUCGGCCACACUGGAACUGAGACACGGUCCAGACUCCUACGGGAGGCUGCAGUAGGGAAUCUUCGGCAAUGGGCGAAACCCUGACGCAGCAAUGCCGCGAGAGUGAUGAAGGUCUUCGGAUCGUAAAACUCUGUUAUUAGUGAAGCGUUACCUAAACAGUAAGCCACGGCUAACUACGUGCCAGCAGCCGCGGUAAUUC